CGGUGGAACCACACAGGAAGCUGUACCCCUGGACUCCGGAAAUUUGGGACACUCCAUUUUCCCACUUCCAAGGAAAAAUGACAGCUGUUAACGAAAUGAGAUGGCGCUGCAAAUCAAGACAGUAUGUGGUGUCAAGUGUUGACAGCCGAAGUGGGCUUGGCUUCCCAGAUGUCACAUCCCGCCCUCCCGUCACUCUUCAGCCCCUGCUUAGCCAAUGACAAAUCGUCUCUCGAACAGUUGGUUCUCGUGCGAGAUUUAUUCGCCAGUAAUUGAUCACAAGUCCAGUAAUUGAACACUGAAGCAGAAAAAUGUAAAAUACAAGAAAAAAAUAUGGAAAUCUUUUGGGGCGUGCAGUGAUGUGAAGGCGGAGACUUCAGGUGUUGACGUCACUUUCAGGAGCAGCAAAUGGUUGUCAUGGAAACAGAGACACAGAAGACAGCGCCCUCUCAUGGGAAGCUACCAACAUAAAAGCUUUCUUCUGUACCGUUUUUUUUUCCCCCUCUCCACUUGCUAUCUGAUUUUCUUUCUUUCGCUUAUCCUUUUAAAGAGGGAACGUAUGCUAAUUUAUAAACAUGAAACAAUAUGUUUUGAUUAUCUUAUCCUGUUUUCAAGCAAUGUGCCAUUAGUUGAAGUCGAUAGGUUAAAAAAUUAAGAGAUUGUAGCAACGUAUUUUAAAAGGUUUUUAUAAACCUAAAAGAAUAUUAUAUGUAUAUUUAUGUUUCUUUAGUUGUAUUUAUUGCAAUUUUUAUGUAAAUAUAUUCAAUGCACGCUAAACAGUUUUUAUUAAAGUUAUA
Molecule: long non-coding RNA, 794 nt
Organism: Uloborus diversus
Lineage: Eukaryota; Metazoa; Arthropoda; Arachnida; Araneae; Uloboridae
Exons: 4
Source: RefSeq, a predicted model, not a curated record